This 408-nucleotide ribosomal RNA is filed under the name bacterium. RNAcentral describes it as "bacterial SSU rRNA". It matches the Rfam family "Bacterial small subunit ribosomal RNA", at positions 986 to 1395 of the family's 1533-position model. The record is from RNAcentral.
GUUUACCGGCAUCCUAGAGAUAGGACGUCCCCUUCGGGGGCAGAGUGACAGGUGGUGCAUGGUUGUCGUCAGCUCGUGUCGUGAGAUGUUGGGUUAAGUCCCGCAACGAGCGCAACCCUUGAUCUUAGUUGCCAGCAUUCAGUUGGGCACUCUAAGGUGACUGCCGGUGACAAACCGGAAGAAGGUGGGGAUGACGUCAAAUCAUCAUGCCCCUUAUGACCUGGGCUACACACGUGCUACAAUGGGCAGAACAAAGGGCAGCGAAACCGCGAGGUUAAGCCAAUCCCACAAAUCUGUUCUCAGUUCGGAUCGCAGUCUGCAACUCCACUGCGUGAAGCUGGAAUCGCUAGUAAUCGCGGAUCAGCAUGCCGCGGUGAAAUACGUUCCCGGGCCCUUGACCCACCGAAA